AAACAUGUCUUUUUGUGUUAAUUUUAAAGUCUGACCUGCCCACUGAAUUUUAAAUGGCCGCAGUAUCCUAACUGUGCAAAGGUAGCAUAAUCAUUAGUCUUUUAAUUGAAGGCUGGUAUGAAUGGUUGGACGAGGUAUAAGCUGUUUCAAUUAAAUUUAUUAUAGAAUUUUAUUUUUUAGUUAAAAAGCUAAAAUUUUGUUAAAAGACGAGAAGACCCUAUAAAUCUUUAUUUUUGUGAAAAUUUUAAUUAUAAAGAUACAUUUUGUUAUAAUUUUUACAAAAAUUUUAUUGGGGUGAUAUUAAAAUUUAAUAAACUUUUAAUUAUUAAAAGACAUUGAUUUAUGAAUAAUUGAUCCAUUAAUAAUGAUUAAAAAUUUAAGUUACUUUAGGGAUAACAGCGUAAUUUUUUUGGAGAGUUCAUAUCGAUAAAAAAGAUUGCGACCUCGAUGUUGGAUUAAGAAAAAUUUUAGGUGUAGCCGCUUAAAUGUUAAGUCUGUUCGACUUUUAAAUUCUUACA
This 518-nucleotide ribosomal RNA is filed under the name Meroplius fukuharai. Its description in RNAcentral is "partial 16S ribosomal RNA". It matches the Rfam family "Bacterial large subunit ribosomal RNA", at positions 1811 to 2600 of the family's 2925-position model. Lineage: Eukaryota; Metazoa; Arthropoda; Insecta; Diptera; Sepsidae. The record is from RNAcentral.